AUGGACUUCGAGUUCAGAAAUUCAUUUCUAUGUGAACCAUCCAGGGAUGACCCAAGAUCAGCACAUACAGACUUGAAGCCCAGCCGAGGACCUGCUCUCCAAAAGGCUGAAGAUAUCCCUGAGCUUCAGAACACUCAGCACAGCUUAUUGCAAAACAGCCGUAACGUAUGUGCCAGGAAGGAACUGCAAAGACUCUACAGGUCAUUUCAUUUAUGGCUGCAGCCAGGAUGACAUUACUUUUCAGGUGGCCCUGGAACAGUUUAUGCUCAAUAAGCCCUACAGUGAACGGUCUACUUUGAGAGAGAAAUGGGAAUCCAGGGGUAGAAACCUGGAGAAAUUCAUAGAAGACCUGAGUGAUGACUGCAUGAGGCCACCUGGCUUAGUCCAUGUCCACAUGCAGGGAGAGGAAGCCCUCAUUUCUGAGAAUAUGCCCUUAAAAGAAGUCAUUGUUCAUCUAACAAAACAGUUGUCAAUAAGAACCCCAGCAGGGGUGAACAUGGGGACACCCUGCUGGACUGUGCAAGACACUUCCCUGGAAACAGGACAAAGAUAAAGAUAAAAAAAAGUGGUGGCAACAUUCCUUUGAAAACUUGUCAAGUAGAUGACGGUGUUGCUAGUCCAAGCAAUCAUGCACCUUUCCUACUCAUUGUCCAAGAAGAGAGCUGCGCGAGGCCUGAAGAAGGAGGUGUGUCUUUGGAGAAUCCACGCAGCUCCAGAAGAGCAGGUCCAGUCCCCUCCAGGUCCCGGGAAAGGUCCCUGAAAGGACCCUCCUAUCAAGAUGUCCUUAUGGAGGUGGAACCAGAGUUUCUCUCCAAGCCAUACCAGGUCACCCUUGAGCUUGUUUCUACCCACGAGAGCACUGAGGGGGACUCUGCAUGUGGGGAACACCAAGAAAGAUCCCACGGAGCCCCAAAAGUAUACAAAUGUGAGAAGUGUCCCAAGAUCUUUAGGUAUUCUUCUCGGUUAAAAGUUCACCAGAAAAGACACAGUCAUGAAAGGACAUAUAUUUGUGCCGAGUGUGGCAAAGGCUUCUUCCAGGCAUCAGACCUACGUGUGCAUCAGAGGAUUCAUGCAAAGGAGAAGCCUUUCACGUGCAGCACGUGCGAAAUGGCCUUCAGCCACAAAACCAACCUCCGGGCUCACGAGAGAAUCCACACGGGAGAGAAGCCCUACGUGUGUUCCCUUUGCCAGAGACCCUUCCACGCGUCCUCCACCUACCACCGCCACCUCAGGCUUCACCAGAAACUUGCCCUCAAAGGUGCUCCCUCCGCGCUAAAAGCUUCUUUGGCCGUGGCCCCAGUCAAGUCCACCAGUCGGAAGAACCCAACCGCCCCCUCAGAGCUCCCAGCAGGGCGCUCGCCGGGGGCACACGCCCCGCAGGCGGGGCUCCACCCCAAGGACGAGGACAGGACAGAGGAGUGGACGGUAGCACCGUCUGUGACUCCAGCCCGGACCCGGGCCCGGGGCCUCCGGGAGCAAACGCUCAGCCUGGGCAGAGUGCGCGACUCUGCUGUGGCCACAGCCCGGAGCCGCACGCGCGACACCGUGAAGGGGGGAGUUGCAUGA
RNA transcript from Hippopotamus amphibius kiboko, 1566 nucleotides. It is a transcript of the gene named zinc finger and SCAN domain-containing protein 4-like, with no coding region annotated. The record is from RefSeq and is a predicted model, not a curated record. The transcript is spliced from 3 exons. NCBI's taxonomy places the organism in Eukaryota, Metazoa, Chordata, Mammalia, Artiodactyla, Hippopotamidae.